GCGUUUAUAGCUCAGUUGGUUAGAGCACCACCUUGACAUGGUGGGGGUCGUUGGUUCGAGUCCAAUUAAACGCU
Molecule: transfer RNA, 74 nt
Filed under: Klebsiella pneumoniae
Lineage: Bacteria; Pseudomonadati; Pseudomonadota; Gammaproteobacteria; Enterobacterales; Enterobacteriaceae
Description: tRNA-Val
Rfam family: tRNA
About the family: Transfer RNA (tRNA) molecules are approximately 80 nucleotides in length.
Source: RNAcentral